UACGUAGGAGGCAAGCGUUGUCCGGAAUUACUGGGCGUAAAGCGCGUGUAGGUGGUGGGACAAGUCUGCUGUGAAAGCGCCUGGCUUAACCGGGCGAGGUCGGCGGAAACUGUCCGACUCGAGGACGGUAGAGGGGGGUGGAAUUCCCGGUGUAGUGGUGAAAUGCGUAGAGAUCGGGAGGAACACCUGUGGCGAAAGGCGGCCCCCCUGGGCCGGCCCCUGACACUGAGACGCGAAGGCGUGGGGGAGCGAACGGG
RNAcentral lists this ribosomal RNA (257 nucleotides) under uncultured bacterium. RNAcentral describes it as "partial 16S ribosomal RNA". It matches the Rfam family "Bacterial small subunit ribosomal RNA", at positions 524 to 776 of the family's 1533-position model. The record is from RNAcentral.